RNAcentral lists this transfer RNA (74 nucleotides) under Methylocucumis oryzae. RNAcentral describes it as "Methylococcaceae bacterium Sn10-6 tRNA". It matches the Rfam family "tRNA". From Rfam's summary of the family: Transfer RNA (tRNA) molecules are approximately 80 nucleotides in length. Their secondary structure includes four short double-helical elements and three loops (D, anti-codon, and T loops). The record is from Rfam by way of RNAcentral. Lineage: Bacteria; Pseudomonadati; Pseudomonadota; Gammaproteobacteria; Methylococcales; Methylococcaceae.
GGCGAUAUAGCUCAGCUGGUUAGAGCGUGGGAUUCAUAACCCCAAGGUCGUGCGUUCGAUCCGCACUAUCGCCA